Molecule: non-coding RNA, 24 nt
Filed under: Arabidopsis thaliana (thale cress)
Lineage: Eukaryota; Viridiplantae; Streptophyta; Magnoliopsida; Brassicales; Brassicaceae
Source: RNAcentral
UUAUUACAACAAUACAACUGAUGG